Molecule: ribosomal RNA, 241 nt
Filed under: uncultured Actinomycetales bacterium
Lineage: Bacteria; Bacillati; Actinomycetota; Actinomycetes; Actinomycetales
Description: partial 16S ribosomal RNA
Rfam family: Bacterial small subunit ribosomal RNA
Source: RNAcentral
ACUCGAGUGGCGAACGGGUGAGUAACACGUGGGUGAUCUGCCCUGCACUUCGGGAUAAGCCUGGGAAACUGGGUCUAAUACCGGAUAGGAGCCAUUUUUAGUGUGAUGGUUGGAAAGUUUUUCGGUGUAGGAUGAGCUCGCGGCCCAUCAGCUUGUUGGUGGGGUAAUGGCCUACCAAGGCGGCGACGGGUAGCCGGCCUGAGAGGGUGAUCGGCCACAUUGGGACUGAGAUACGGCCCAG